RNAcentral lists this long non-coding RNA (1007 nucleotides) under Anas platyrhynchos platyrhynchos (common mallard). RNAcentral's name for it is "lncRNA (ENSAPLG00000025891.1)". The record is from RNAcentral. Lineage: Eukaryota; Metazoa; Chordata; Aves; Anseriformes; Anatidae.
CCGGAAGUGCCCUUCCCAUAGGUGGAGGCGGCGGCGGAGCUGCGGGAGCUGGCGGGGGAGGGGCUGGCGGCCAUGGCGGGCGGGGCCGGAGGGGGCGUGGCCUUCGCCGCCGCCCUGCCCCCCAUGCUGGCCUGCCUGCGCGGCGACCUCCCGCAGCGCUCCUGGGCGGCCGCCAUGCUGGGCGAGGUGGGCGGGGCCCUGCCGGGGGGCGUGGCCCCGGCCCUGCUGCCCCGCCUCGGCCCCGCCCUGGCGGCCGCCGCCCUCCGCGACCCCCACCCCGAGGUGCGCGGCAACGCCCUCUGCAGCCUGGGCCGCCUGGCCGCCAACGGGGCGGGGCAAAGCCCGUAUCCAUGGCAACGGGGGCGGGGCCGGGACGGGCGCCAUGGCAACGGGGUGGGAAAGGGGCGGGGCUUGGCUCGUUGCCAUGGCAACCGGGCGGGAGGGGAGGGGCGGGAGGGUGGGUGCCUAGCAACCAGGUAGGACACGCCCCCUGUAGCCAUAGCAACCAUUGCUAGGGAGGAGGCCACGCCCCCUGGUUGCCUAGCAACCCCCAUAUAGGAGCGAGGCCACGCCCCCUUCUGAAGCCACGCCCCCCUGUUGCCAUAGCAACCCCUGCCAGGGAGGAGGCCACACCCCCCUGUUGCCAUAGCAACCGUUAAUGGCUCUCCUGGCCACACCCCCAGUCCCCUGGCCACGCCCCCUGGUUGCCUAGCAACCCCUUAUAGGAGCAAGGCCACGCCCCCGUUGCCAUAGCAACCACUGCCAGGGAGGAGGCCACGCCCCCUUCUGUAGCCACGCCCCCCUGUUGCCUAGCAACCUCCUCUGGUUUCUAACGGCUCCCUUGGCCACGCCCCCUGCUUCCCUGGCCACGCCCCCUGUUGCCAUAGCAACCCCUUUUAUGAGAGUGAGGCCACGCCCCCUUCUGUAGCCACGCCCCGUUGCCAUAGCAACCCCUGCUGGGGAGGAGGCCACGCCCCCCGUUCCCUAGCAACCCCUUUAGGCCCCUC